Danaus plexippus (monarch butterfly) is the source of this 2302-nucleotide long non-coding RNA. RefSeq lists it as uncharacterized. Lineage: Eukaryota; Metazoa; Arthropoda; Insecta; Lepidoptera; Nymphalidae. The record is from RefSeq and is a predicted model, not a curated record. The transcript is spliced from 5 exons.
AAUGCGCAAUACACCGAAAUGGUACGUUUUCUGGCGAUGUCUAAUGACAACGUAUCUGCUGCAGGAAGGCGUUUCGAAGAGCAGUUUAAUAUUAGUGUCGUGGCACACAAUGCUUUCUGCAACCCUGCGUUUGAGAGAUUACGGACAAUUUCGGACUCCAACUGUAGAUAGAGAUUUGCGCUAUACAAAAAAUCACGUUGUAUAUUAUAUAAUUAUCAAUACCGGUCCGCGUGUGAGGCGGCACGCUGUAACAGCGGCGGUACGUGAGGCGGGACAGUCUCGGAGCUCUCCGGAAGAUACUCGCGGGACACUCGAGACGCCUCCUCGUACAGCUCUGAACAUGAAACAUUCAAAAUUAUUCGCACUAAACUACAUUCAGAAACAUGAAAAGAUUAUUGUCAUAAUAAUGCACAGCUUUCUUGCGAACGAACAAACUUACGAACUUUAAUAAACCAUAUCCUUUUGUUAGGUAUCUAGCUUAGGAGUUUAAACUCUCUAUCUUGUCGAAGACGGUGUCAUGUAUGUUAAUAGACGGAGGUAACAAACUAUCAACCACUUCAUAAAAAAUCAUCAUUCUUAACAAAGCAUUUUGACAUUCUGGAAAAAGAACUCUUCAGAGAAACAAAAAGGUUCUAACGAACCCAAGUCUUUGUAAUGUUGCACCACGUCUCUCGGCCGGUUGGCUCUUAUCAUGAGGGCUUCGAACUGCGACAGGUCGCCGCGCUCGGCCGCAGCGCGAGCUCCCUCCACCAACACCUCCUCCGUCUAUACAUCAUCAUAUAAAUUGAUAAUUACUACACUACUACUUUAACCAUUAGUAUUGUCAAUGUAAACAGAGAACUAUAAAUUUUUUUUAUAGUCCUAUACUCUCCUAUUGUCAACCAAUUGUCAAAAUCUCAACGUAUAAAAGUUAAAAUCAAUUAUAAUAAAGUAUAUAAACAUUGAAACUAAAAUUAAGUCACUUAUCAUACAAAACGUUUUACCAUAUGAGUGGCAUGCUGUUCGGCCAAGGCCAAAGCUCUAUGGUGAUUCCCUUUAGACAGCCACAUCCGGAUCGCGUCCUCAGCCGCAGAAGCCCUAAGGAAAGCCGCCUCAGCUUCCUCCGGGUUCUCUUCAGCCAGAACUGCCGCUUCAUGCCUUGCUACUUCUCGCUUUGUGAUCCCACCACCCAUCUCACUCAACUCAAUAGCAAUAUCCCAUCUAAAUAAAUAUAUCUAACUGUAAUUGUGACGUAAUAAGUAAGGCCAAUAUGGCUUUGAAAAAUACAAUUUCUCAAUACUUCUAAAUUAAUCUUGUACCCGGAGAUAAUGCCAUUACGUCGUUUAGCAUUGAUAAUUGAUUUCUUAAUUGGAUUAACUUGAAUCUAGGGAUUCCAUAGAAUAGUCAUCAGCGCUCGUCACAAAUUUGUAAUCCGGAGUGAUUAUGGGGUUUCAUAGAAUAGAGGGCCCACCGCGCCCCAAGUGCUGCCAGUCCCCGGGCAACCAGCAGGCGGGCCGCGGCUGCCGCGGACAACGACCCGGCCCACUGAAGAGCCACCUGCUGCUGUACUCCAACCGGAGCGUGAGCCCGAGCCACGCGCUCAGCGUUCUCCCACUGACCACUCGUGUGAUACAUCUGGAUGGCACUUUUCCAGUCACCUGCACAAUAUAUAUGCAUAUAUUAUACUUAGGUCUCAGCGGCCCGAAGGUCCCCCGCGGCGCGGAGGUCACUGGCCGCCUUCUUCCUCGUGGCCUGCAGCAGCGCUGGUCUAUGAGCCGCCACCAACCGCAGCAUUGACUCAUACUGAGAUGCUUCCUAAUAGAUUUUUUACAACGAUUCAACAAAACCGAAUAGCUGCGGUGAGCGCAUCGACCGUGCGACCAGCCUCUAUGAGAUGAGGCACAGCGGCGCCCGCCUGUCGCGAAGAUACAAGCCACGCCCCCCAUUCUCCUUCUAACCUGGUCACUUCACCGGGACAGGCCUGAAGAUUAAAAAAUAAUAUAAUAAAAUUAAAAAAAAAAACAAAACAUUCAAAUAAAGAACACCAACAUCUCUUGCUAGUUGGACCGCUCUUGCGUAGUUGUUGCCUCUAGAAUAGUAAUCCACCGCAGUUCUUAUAUCACCUUUACGCUCGGAUAUUUCACCAGCCAUUUCCCACCAUUCCUCCUGCAACGGAAACAAAUUAUCAACUUAUGUAUGUAAUAAUGCAUGUCUCUUAUUAGUGAAACAAUUUUUUUUUUAUAUUUAUAAAGAAUUCAAGAUCAUUAUGUAUUAGAACAAAUAUAUUUGUGAUAGUUAUAGUAAUAAAAUUGGAUAUCUAUUA